Molecule: long non-coding RNA, 979 nt
Organism: Canis lupus familiaris (dog)
Lineage: Eukaryota; Metazoa; Chordata; Mammalia; Carnivora; Canidae
Exons: 3
Source: RefSeq, a predicted model, not a curated record
UCAGUGGGAACCUGGAACCUGAACCACACAGGGAGCCUACCUGUUCCUACCUUCCUGCAUCUCUUAGUGCCUGCCGGAGCAUUACCUAGGGUCAGGCUCUGUCCACCACUAGAUGCUGCCCCGUAAACGCCUCCCUCGGCCAGCCCAUCCAGGAUGUGUCAACACGCAGACAAGAGAAGAAAGAAAGAAAGAAAGAGCCUCACCAACAUUUUGAGAAAACCAGCAGAUGGGGAGCCCAGAAGAACUGACAAAAGUAAUACAUUGUCUCCACAAGAUUCUGUGACAGAAGAAAACCCCAUAUUCCUCAAGCUGGGAGAGGUCCCUGAAAGUAACUUUGUCCAUCAGACAGUGGCCCCCUUGGGUCCCCCCAGGCCGACAAGUACCUUGAGGCCUCCACUCCCAACACGCUGGGCCUUCAGACGAUCUUGCUGUGUCUAAUCCAGUCCAUACAUCCUCUGGGGGCCUAGCCUGAAAGGCCAGAGCAGCUACAGGGCAAGAAUGAACCAGAACUAGAAACUGGAGAGGCCAAGGGCGCCUGAACAAGGUGCAUGGCCUGGAGAGGACAAAGCAUGCUUCCUGCGCCCACCCUCUGACACUUCACCUCCAACCACAGCUGUCCUGUUAUCCAGCUAAGUCCUGCUGAGUGGAGGCCUGAGAGCAGCUGUAAGGGGAGACAGCCACCCAAGAGCUCACUCACAUGCUGAGUCCUGGAACAGGACAGGGAAGCCCUCUCUAUCUUGAUGCUGGUGCACCGCAGAAGGCUGGCAGGGCGCUGCAGAGGUACCUUUUGACUUUACUGGCAGCUCCCACUGACCCUUGGAUGGGACACCUCAGGGCUCUAAACUGGGCCUUAGCAAAUUUCUCUUCAAGGAAAGGAAACAACUGGAGAUGUCAAAGAAACUACCUGGUCACUAGAUGGGUCUCCAGCAUCUUGUACAUAUGCUUGAACUUACACCAGAAUCCCUGACUCAGGAGAAUC